CCUACGGGAGGCAGCAGUGGGGAAUAUUGGACAAUGGGGGCAACCCUGAUCCAGCCAUGCCGCGUGUGUGAAGAAGGCCUUCGGGUUGUAAAGCACUUUAAGUAGGGAAAAAGGCUCGCUGGCUAAUAUCCAGCGGGAUUGAUACUACCUACAGAAUAAGCACCGGCUAACUCUGU
This 176-nucleotide ribosomal RNA is filed under the name uncultured beta proteobacterium. Its description in RNAcentral is "partial 16S ribosomal RNA". It matches the Rfam family "Bacterial small subunit ribosomal RNA", at positions 338 to 506 of the family's 1533-position model. Lineage: Bacteria; Pseudomonadati; Pseudomonadota; Betaproteobacteria. The record is from RNAcentral.